GACGAACGCUGGCGGCGUGCUUAACACAUGCAAGUCGAACGGAAAGGCCCUGCUUUUGUGGGGUGCUCGAGUGGCGAACGGGUGAGUAACACGUGAGUAACCUGCCCUUGACUUUGGGAUAACUUCAGGAAACUGGGGCUAAUACCGGAUAGGAGCUCCUGCUGAAUGGUGGGGGUUGGAAAGUUUCGGCGGUUGGGGAUGGACUCGCGGCUUACCAGCUUGUUGGUGGGGUAGUGGCUUACCAAGGCUUUGACGGGUAGCCGGCCUGAGAGGGUGACCGGCCACAUUGGGACUGAGAUACGGCCCGGACUCCUACGGGAGGCAGAAGUGGGGAAUAUUGCACAAUGGGCGGAAGCCAGAUGCAGCAACGCCGCGUGCGGGAUGACGGUCUUCGGGUUGUGAACCGCUUUCGCCUGUGACGAAGCGUGAGUGACGGUAAUGGGUAAAGAAGCACCGGCUAACUACGUG
RNAcentral lists this ribosomal RNA (468 nucleotides) under uncultured bacterium. Its description in RNAcentral is "partial 16S ribosomal RNA". It matches the Rfam family "Bacterial small subunit ribosomal RNA", at positions 28 to 507 of the family's 1533-position model. The record is from RNAcentral.